Arvicanthis niloticus (Nile rat) is the source of this 156-nucleotide non-coding RNA. Lineage: Eukaryota; Metazoa; Chordata; Mammalia; Rodentia; Muridae. The record is from RefSeq and is a predicted model, not a curated record.
UCGGUGACCCCAAUAAACACUUCAUCUAAGGAAAGUUGUUUCACUUGCUCUCUAAGGGAGGGCUGCACACCAAAGAAGACAUGAUGGCUGAUCGUGAACAGCAAAUUCAAGCUCUCAGCUUGCUGAUCCAGUUACCAUGCCUGACUGCUGCCAUAC